CCUUAGAGUUUGAUUCUGGCUCAGGACGAACGCUGGCGGCGUGCUUAACACAUGCAAGUCGAACGAUGACGGUGGUGCUUGCACUGCCUGAUUAGUGGCGAACGGGUGAGUAACACGUGAGUAACCUGCCCCUCACUUCGGGAUAACCUCGGGAAAUCGAGGCUAAUACCGGAUAUGAGCUCCUGCCGCAUGGUGGGGGUUGUAAAGAUUUAUCGGUGAGGGAUGGACUCGCGGCCUAUCAGUUUGUUGGUGAGGUAAUGGCUCACCAAGGCGAUGACGGGUAGCCGGCCUGAGAGGGCGACCGGCCACACUGGGACUGAGACACGGCCCAGACUCCUACGGGAGGCAGCAGUGGGGAAUAUUGCACAAUGGGCGAAAGCCUGAUGCAGCGACGCCGCGUGGGGGAUGACGGCCUUCGGGUUGUAAACCCCUUUCAGUAGGGAAGAAGCGAGAGUGACGGUACCUGCAGAAGAAGCGCCGGCUAACUACGUGCCAGCAGCCGCGGUAAUACGUAGGGCGCAAGCGUUGUCCGGAAUUAUUGGGCGUAAAGAGCUUGUAGGUGGCUUGUCGCGUCUGCCGUGAAAACCCGAGGCUCAACCUCGGGCGUGCGGUGGGUACGGGCAGGCUAGAGUGUGGUAGGGGAGACUGGAACUCCUGGUGUAGCGGUGAAAUGCGCAGAUAUCAGGAAGAACACCGAUGGCGAAGGCAGGUCUCUGGGCCAUUACUGACACUGAGAAGCGAAAGCAUGGGUAGCGAACAGGAUUAGAUACCCUGGUAGUCCAUGCCGUAAACGUUGGGCACUAGGUGUGGGGGACAUUCCACGUUCUCCGCGCCGUAGUUAACGCAUUAAGUGCCCCGCCUGGGGAGUACGGCCGCAAGGCUAAAACUCAAAUGAAUUGACGGGG
RNAcentral lists this ribosomal RNA (905 nucleotides) under uncultured Brachybacterium sp. RNAcentral describes it as "bacterial SSU rRNA". It matches the Rfam family "Bacterial small subunit ribosomal RNA", at positions 1 to 918 of the family's 1533-position model. The record is from RNAcentral. Lineage: Bacteria; Bacillati; Actinomycetota; Actinomycetes; Micrococcales; Dermabacteraceae.